GUCUUUUUGAUUAAUAAUUUAAAGUCUAAUCUGCCCACUGAUAUUAUAUUAAAGGGCUGCAGUAUUUUGACUGUACAAAGGUAGCAUAAUCAUUAGUCUCUUAAUUGGUGACUUGUAUGAAAGAUUUGAUGAAAUAUAUACUGUCUCUUUUUAAUUUAUAAAAUUUAAUUUUUUAGUUAAAAAGCUAAAAUAUAUUUAAAAGACGAGAAGACCCUAUAGAGUUUUAUAUUUAUAUAAAUUAUAAUUUUUUAUAAGAUUUAAAAUUUUGAUAUAUUUAAAUAUUGUGUUGGGGUGAUAAAAAAAUUUGAAUAACUUUUUUUAUAGAUUAACAUUUAUAAAUGAAUAAAUGAUCCGUAAUUUACGAUUAUAAGAAAAAAUUACCUUAGGGAUAACAGCGUAAUUUUUUUUUUUAGUUCAAAUAAGAAUAAAAGUUUGCGACCUCGAUGUUGGAUUAAGAUAAAAUUUAAAUGCAAAAGUUUAAAAUUUUUGAUCUGUUCGAUCAUUAAAAUCUUACA
RNAcentral lists this ribosomal RNA (515 nucleotides) under Parnassius huberi. Its description in RNAcentral is "partial 16S rRNA". The stretch from base 388 to 515 matches the Rfam family "Bacterial large subunit ribosomal RNA", at positions 2473 to 2600 of the family's 2925-position model. Lineage: Eukaryota; Metazoa; Arthropoda; Insecta; Lepidoptera; Papilionidae. The record is from RNAcentral.